AACUACGUGCCAGCAGCCGCGGUAAUACGUAGGGGGCAAGCGUUAUCCGGAAUUCACUGGGCGUAAAGGGUGCGUAGGCGGCUUAGCAAGCCAGGGGUGAAAGGCAUUGGCUCAACCAAUGUAAGCCUUUGGAACUGUUAAGCUUGAGUGCAGGAGAGGUAAGUGGAAUUCCUAGUGUAGAGGUGAAAUUCGUAGAUAUUAGGAGGAACACCAGUGGCGAAGGCGACUUACUGGACUGUAACUGACGCUGAUGCACGAAAGCGUGGGUAGCGAACAGGAUUAGAUACCCUGGUAG
RNAcentral lists this ribosomal RNA (295 nucleotides) under uncultured bacterium. RNAcentral describes it as "partial 16S ribosomal RNA". It matches the Rfam family "Bacterial small subunit ribosomal RNA", at positions 499 to 793 of the family's 1533-position model. The record is from RNAcentral.